GAGCAUGAGAGAGGGAUGCUCUGACCAGCUCACACAUUCACCAUUAAACAGAAGCCAAGAGAGAGCAGGCUCCAGCAUCUACCGUAUCUGUUCCUACACAGUGUAAGCAGAGAAUGCCAGAACACAUCUCGUUAUCCAGAUUUUCAAAGGUGGUUAGAAUCCUGACAGCUACAAUUCCCAAAGCCUGGGCUAGAGAGCUGGUUCAGCGGUUAAGAGCACCAACUACUCUUCCAGAGGUCCUGAGUUCAAGUCCCAGCAACUCCCAGUGUACUCAUAUAAAUAAAAUAAAUAAAUCUUUUUUAAAAAAACUUGUUUAUUUUAUGUGAUUACACUGUCUCUGUCUUCAUACACACCAGAAGAGUGCAUCAGAUCCCAUUACAGGUGGUUAUAAGCUACCAUGUGGUUGCUGGGACUUGAACUCAGGACCUCUGGAAGAGCAGUCAGUGUUCUUAACCACUGAGCCAUCUCUUCAGCCCAAUAAGUAAUUCUUAAAAACAAAAACAAAAACAAAAACAAAAACAAAAACAAAAACAACAAAAAACCCCAAUUCCUAAAGCCUGUGAUGCAAUUGUGACAUCAAAGCAGUACCCGCCCAUGUCUGGCUGAUUUCAUACAACUAUCACCCUUUUAAUGUCUUCUCUUGAGUGACUGAAUGUUGAAGGGGAACAAGGUAGAGAGCGUCUUGGGAAUCCAUUUCCCUCACCAUAGACUCUAUCAACUGAUUCUAAAAGUCUUGGUCACCUCAAAUCAAACAUCUCAGACUGCUUGCGUUUGCCCGCUCGCUGCUGUUUAGUGUUCAAGGGUGAGCUAAUAGGAAACUUGAACUUCGCUUCCUGCUUCCUCCGCCUCCAGGCUGUCAGAGAAUUCAUGCAGGGCUUGGCUUGCCUUGUGUUUCCUUGGAGUGUGGCAAAGAACAGCACUGCCACCUACUACACAAAGCCAACGAGCUGUCCCUGAAAGCUGGGUCACAUGAGCCUCUCUGGCAUCUGCUACACGCAGUGAUGUACUCAUUGGUUUGAAAGGCUCAAAAUCCACACAAGCUUUCUUUUUGUUUCAUCCUUUGCUACAGUUGUUCCACGGUAAACAACCAGGCCAUGGAGCCUGUUUUGUGUGAAGUAUAUUUCUGCCAUACAGAUAUGUUGGCUCCCACAAAAAGAUGGUUUCUCUUGAUUUCAUAUAAGAUGCAGUCAGAAACUCUGCUGUGAACAUGACUGUGACUCACAAAAUUGAGUUUGGGGAGGAGUGAUCAAUGACCCAACAGUGGCCCAUGCUACCACCCACGGGUGGCGUCCAAGCUCUAUAUGAGCUUCCUGUUCUCCUAAAUCA
This 1326-nucleotide long non-coding RNA is filed under the name Mus spicilegus (steppe mouse). RNAcentral's name for it is "lncRNA (ENSMSIG00000020502.1)". The record is from RNAcentral. Lineage: Eukaryota; Metazoa; Chordata; Mammalia; Rodentia; Muridae.